This 413-nucleotide long non-coding RNA is filed under the name Pan troglodytes (chimpanzee). RNAcentral describes it as "lincRNA". Lineage: Eukaryota; Metazoa; Chordata; Mammalia; Primates; Hominidae. The record is from RNAcentral.
CACACACACACACACACACACAAACAUGUUUCUGUGUGUGUGUGUGUAUAUAUACACACACACACACACACACACACAUAUAUAUAUAUAUAUAUAUAUAUAUAUAUAUAUAUCACAAAUUUUGGCUUAGGAGUCAUCUUUCCUCUUAGGUUGAUUUUUAAUUCUAACUCCCAGAAAACAAUUAAUUUAUCUUUGUUUUAUUUGUCAUUGAGGCCCAGCAAACCUGAAGUAAAAGGGUGAGAAGGUAGGGUGGGUGCUGGAUAAUGAGAAAUUACUUAAGGGUUAUAAUGUAAAUUAUUUGAGUGAUGGAUACCCUAAAAGCCCUGACUUCGCCACUAUGCAGUCUAUGCAUGUAACUAAAUUACAUUUGUACACAACACUUUUGUAAAAAUAAAUUAAAAAGAACAACUAGA